UUCUGGCGGAGGUAAGGAGGCAGGCGGCGGAGAGGGAGAGGGAGAUUGAGCAGAGGACGACUAGGCUUUUGGAGGAGGAGAGGAACCGGAACGACUUGGCUAACCAGGCCAUAUACGAGCUCUUCGCGUCCAUGUGCGAGAAGAACGGUCAGACCCCUCCGCCGAUGCCAGUCAUUGCUCCGGCGGACACACAUAACUCCCGACAAGCAUCGACGUCUGCCAUUGGCGCGAGCAAGAACCCCGAUCCUCCUCCGCCUGCCACUACCGCGAGCAAGAACCCCGAUCCUCCUCCGUCUGCCACUACCGCGAGCAAGAACCCCGAUCCUUCACCUACGGGUUGAUGGUAAGUUUUGCCUAGUGCUUUGCUUAAUUAGC
This is a long non-coding RNA of Aegilops tauschii subsp. strangulata, 375 nucleotides long. RefSeq lists it as uncharacterized. The record is from RefSeq and is a predicted model, not a curated record. NCBI's taxonomy places the organism in Eukaryota, Viridiplantae, Streptophyta, Magnoliopsida, Poales, Poaceae.